RNAcentral lists this ribosomal RNA (108 nucleotides) under Sinocyclocheilus anshuiensis. The record is from RNAcentral. Lineage: Eukaryota; Metazoa; Chordata; Actinopteri; Cypriniformes; Cyprinidae.
AUUAAAUAAAAAAUUCUGCGCCCGAUCUCGUCUGAUCUCGGAAGCUAAGCAAGGUCUGGCCUGGUUAGUACUUGGAUGGGAGACCACUAUCUAAUACACUGGCCAGUA